This 494-nucleotide ribosomal RNA is filed under the name uncultured bacterium. Its description in RNAcentral is "bacterial SSU rRNA". It matches the Rfam family "Bacterial small subunit ribosomal RNA", at positions 43 to 578 of the family's 1533-position model. The record is from RNAcentral.
UAUGCUUAACACAUGCAAGUCGAACGGAGUGCCUUCGGGUGCUUAGUGGCGGACGGGUGAGUAACGCGUGAGAAUCUGCCUUCAGGACGGAGAUAACGACUGGAAACGGUCGCUAAUACCGGAUAUGCCUAGAGGUGAAAGCGUUAGCGCCUGAAGAGGAGCUCGCGGCUGAUUAGCUAGUUGGUGGGGUAACGGCUCACCAAGGCAGCGAUCAGUAGCUGGUCUGAGAGGAUGAUCAGCCACACUGGGACUGAGACACGGCCCAGACUCCUACGGGAGGCAGCGGUGGGGAAUUUUCCGCAAUGGGCGCAAGCCUGACGGAGCAAUACCGCGUGAGGGAGGACGGCCCUUGGGUUGUAAACCUCUUUUGUUUGGGGAGAAGCGCUGAGGGUACCCAACGAAUCAGCAUGGGCUAACUCCGUGCCACCAGCCGCGGUAAUACGGAGGAUGCAAGCGUUAUCCGGAUUUAUUGGGCGUAAAGCGUCCGCAGGUGG